Molecule: ribosomal RNA, 220 nt
Filed under: uncultured bacterium
Lineage: Bacteria
Description: partial 16S ribosomal RNA
Rfam family: Bacterial small subunit ribosomal RNA
Source: RNAcentral
GAUGAACGUUGGCGGCGUGCUUAACACAUGCAAGUCGAACGCUAGUAGCAAUACUAGAGUGGCGCACGGGUGAGUAACACGUAGCUUACCCUGCCUCAGAGAGCGGGAUAACGUUCCGAAAGGAAUGCUAAUACCGCCUAAGCUCACGGUCUGUAGAGGACUGGGAGAAAAGGGGAAACCCGCUUUGAGAGGGGGCGUGCGGCCCGACUCAGCUAGUUGG